GUGGUUUUAGCUCAGUUGGUUAGAGCGCCUGAUUGUGGUUCAGGAGGUCAUGGGUUCGAGACCCAUAUCCCACC
This 74-nucleotide transfer RNA is filed under the name Arcticibacter svalbardensis MN12-7. It matches the Rfam family "tRNA". From Rfam's summary of the family: Transfer RNA (tRNA) molecules are approximately 80 nucleotides in length. Their secondary structure includes four short double-helical elements and three loops (D, anti-codon, and T loops). Lineage: Bacteria; Pseudomonadati; Bacteroidota; Sphingobacteriia; Sphingobacteriales; Sphingobacteriaceae. The record is from Rfam by way of RNAcentral.